GAGUUCUCGUUGAAUCUCGGUGCUUGCACCGAGAUUCAACAUGGAACGAGUGGCGGACGGGUGAGUAACACGUGGGUAACCUGCCCUUAAGUGGGGGAUAACAUUUGGAAACAGAUGCUAAUACCGCAUAGAUCCAAGAACCGCAUGGUUCUUGGCUGAAAGAUGGCGUAAGCUAUCGCUUUUGGAUGGACCCGCGGCGUAUUAGCUAGUUGGUGAGGUAAUGGCUCACCAAGGCGAUGAUACGUAGCCGAACUGAGAGGUUGAUCGGCCACAUUGGGACUGAGACACGGCCCAAACUCCUACGGGAGGCAGCAGUAGGGAAUCUUCCACAAUGGACGCAAGUCUGAUGGAGCAACGCCGCGUGAGUGAAGAAGGCUUUCGGGUCGUAAAACUCUGUUGUUGGAGAAGAAUGGUCGGCAGAGUAACUGUUGUCGGCGUGACGGUAUCCAACCAGAAAGCCACGGCUAACUACGUGCCAGCAGCCGCGGUAAUACGUAGGUGGCAAGCGUUAUCCGGAUUUAUUGGGCGUAAAGCGAGCGCAGGCGGUUUUUUAAGUCUGAUGUGAAAGCCCUCGGCUUAACCGAGGAAGCGCAUCGGAAACUGGGAAACUUGAGUGCAGAAGAGGACAGUGGAACUCCAUGUGUAGCGGUGAAAUGCGUAGAUAUAUGGAAGAACACCAGUGGCGAAGGCGGCUGUCUGGUCUGUAACUGACGCUGAGGCUCGAAAGCAUGGGUAGCGAACAGGAUUAGAUACCCUGGUAGUCCAUGCCGUAAACGAUGAAUGCUAGGUGUUGGAGGGUUUCCGCCCUUCAGUGCCGCAGCUAACGCAUUAAGCAUUC
RNAcentral lists this ribosomal RNA (838 nucleotides) under uncultured bacterium. Its description in RNAcentral is "bacterial SSU rRNA". It matches the Rfam family "Bacterial small subunit ribosomal RNA", at positions 59 to 869 of the family's 1533-position model. The record is from RNAcentral.